AGCAGCCGCGGUAAUUCCAGCUCCAAUAGCGUAUAUUAAAGUUGUUGCAGUUAAAAAGCUCGUAGUUGAAUUUCGGGAUCAAUAUAUCGGUCGUGCCUUCGGUACGUACUGGUAUCAUUGGUUUCUCCUUUCUGACGAACCAUGAUGUCAUUAAUUUGGUGUUAUGGGGAGUUAGGACUGUUACUUUGAAAAAAUUAGAGUGUUUAAAGCAGGCUCACGCUUGAAUACAUUAGCAUGGAAUAAUGAAAUAGGACGUUUGAUUCUAUUUUGUUGGUUUCUAGGAUCGACGUAAUGAUUAAUAGGGAUAGUUGGGGGCAUUAGUAUUCAAUUGUCAGAGGUGAAAUUCUUGGAUUUAUUGAAGACUAACUACUGCGAAAGCAUUUGCCAAGGAUGUUUUCAUUAAUCAAGAACGAAAGUUAGGGGAUCGAAGACGAUCAGAUACCGUCGUAGUCUUAACCAUAAACUAUGCCGACUAGGGAUCGGAUGAUGUUAAUUUUUUAAUGUACUCA
RNAcentral lists this ribosomal RNA (509 nucleotides) under uncultured Glomus. RNAcentral's name for it is "SSU rRNA". It matches the Rfam family "Eukaryotic small subunit ribosomal RNA", at positions 569 to 1082 of the family's 1831-position model. Lineage: Eukaryota; Fungi; Glomeromycota; Glomeromycetes; Glomerales; Glomeraceae. The record is from RNAcentral.